CGGGAGGGGAGGGAGGGCGGG
Molecule: microRNA, 21 nt
Filed under: Gallus gallus (chicken)
Lineage: Eukaryota; Metazoa; Chordata; Aves; Galliformes; Phasianidae
Description: gga-miR-2127
Source: miRBase by way of RNAcentral